CACGGAUGUAUAUUCCGUCAAGACAAAAAGACUGUUGUUUCCUGUUGGAUAAUGAGGACUUUGCAUUUGUGAAGGAGAAAAGAGGAGACAGAAGUCUUCUAUGUGAUAUUGUACGACAGACACAGACUUGUAACUUCUUCAUUGAACCAUGUGAUGUGGACACGUGCUGUUUGGAUAGAGCAGGAGGGGGAGGUUGAGGGAGUCCUGCCCUCAAACUGGGUGGAUGCCUGAAGAUAGUAUGUGUGGUGGCCGAAUGAUCCAAAGCAGGCCACAAAACUAUACAGAGAGAAGGCCAACCCUAUUAAAGAUACUUGGGUUACCUUCAAGCUAAUUAAAGUUAAACAUACAUCAGGUAUAUAGAUGCAGCCAUUCAAAACGCGUGGGGU
This 386-nucleotide long non-coding RNA is filed under the name Lepisosteus oculatus (spotted gar). Its description in RNAcentral is "lncRNA (ENSLOCG00000023312.1)". The record is from RNAcentral. Lineage: Eukaryota; Metazoa; Chordata; Actinopteri; Semionotiformes; Lepisosteidae.